ACUUACGUCAUAUAUUUUUAUGUGUGCUCUUCAAUGCAGUACAAUAAGUCUUUACAUUUAAUGUCAUCAAUUGGUAUUUUAACUAAGUGAAACAACAUAUAAUAAAACCAGUUUACUAUGGGCUAAUUGAUACAAACAAGAGUUAAGUUCCUAUGGUGUAACAAAUGAUGUUGAGUGAAAUGAGAUUAUUCAAGUGCCUGCCAUGUAGAUUCUGAAUAAAGGAAAAAAUGUCUGGAGUGAUUUUAUCUUUGAUGAAAGUUUCAUUUUAAAAUAAAGUUUAGGCCAGGGCCAGAAUAUUAUUGCCUGGUUAUAAGAAAACCAUUUUUAAAAAUUUCAUUUCAUUUCACAUAAACAACCUUUGGUGAGAUUUUAAUGUUUUCAGAUAAUUGGGAUCCUAUGUUUCGUUCUGGCUUUGCAUUGGAGAAUGAAAUAAUUCCUCUCAAACUGUUGCACAUGAUUGUAAUGUGUACAAAUAUACCUGGCAGUCCUUGUUCUCCUAGAGCACUUAUAGUCAGUGUUUAAUGAAUGUAUAUCAUUUUUAAUGUGACAUAAUAGUUGAAUGUUGAACAUUGUUUUCUAAAAGUUAUAUUGACUGCAAAGUUAGUGCAACUUAAUUGGCCUCUAAAGAUCAUUUAUUCUGAUGUUUCACUUUACCAUGACGAAAUUGGGGCUUAAGACAGUUUUGACUUUUGUAAAGUCAUGUAUUACUCCUAGAAGAACAUUGUCUUUACGGAGAGCUGGGUUUAAAUCUGUAGGCCUCUGACUUGGGCAAAAUUCCCCUCUUUACCUUUCAUCCUCCAUUCUAUAUAAUGAUAAUGCCUACCUUACCAUUGUGAAGAUGAUAGAU
Myotis davidii is the source of this 847-nucleotide long non-coding RNA. RefSeq lists it as uncharacterized. Lineage: Eukaryota; Metazoa; Chordata; Mammalia; Chiroptera; Vespertilionidae. The record is from RefSeq and is a predicted model, not a curated record. The transcript has 2 exons.